AUUGAACGCUGGCGGCAUGCUCUACACAUGCAAGUCGAACGGUAACAGGCCGCAAGGUGCUGACGAGUGGCGAGCGGGUGAGUAAUGCAUCGGAACGUGCCCAGUCGUGGGGGAUAACUACUCGAAAGAGUAGCUAAUACCGCAUACGAUCUAUGGAUGAAAGCGGGGGACCGUAAGGCCUCGCGCGAUUGGAGCGGCCGAUGUCAGAUUAGGUAGUUGGUGGGGUAAAGGCUCACCAAGCCAACGAUCUGUAGCUGGUCUGAGAGGACGACCAGCCACACUGGGACUGAGACACGGCCCAGACUCCUACGGGAGGCAGCAGUGGGGAAUUUUGGACAAUGGGCGCAAGCCUGAUCCAGCAAUGCCGCGUGCAGGAAGAAGGCCUUCGGGUUGUAAACUGCUUUUGUACGGAACGAAACGGCUCUGGUUAAUACCCGGGGCUAAUGACGGUACCGUAAGAAUAAGCACCGGCUAACUACGUG
Molecule: ribosomal RNA, 482 nt
Filed under: uncultured bacterium
Lineage: Bacteria
Description: partial 16S ribosomal RNA
Rfam family: Bacterial small subunit ribosomal RNA
Source: RNAcentral